GACGAACGCUGGCGGCGUGGAUUAGGCAUGCAAGUCGAACGGUAUCAUCCUUUCGGGGGUGAGAGAGUGGCGAACUGGUGAGUAACACGUAGGUUAUCUACCCUCAAGACGGGGACAACCCAGGGAAACUUGGGCUAAUACCGGAUGUGAGCAACUUUUAGUUGUUUGAAAGGUGGCGUAAGCUGUCGCUUGGGGAUGAGCCUGCGUCCUAUUAGUUAGUUGGUGAGGUAACGGCUCACCUAGGCAAUGAUAGGUAGGCGGCCUUAACGGGUGGUCGCCCACACUGGGAUUGAGAUACGGCCCAGACUCCUACGGGAGGCAGCAGUCGAGAAUAGUCUACAAUGGUCGGAAGACUGAUAGUGCGACGCCGCGUGAACGAUGAAUCCCUUCGGGGUGUAAAGUUCUUUUAUAUGUGAGCAGUGCUUCUUAUAUUAACAGUAUGGGGAAGAGAUAUAGCAUAUGAAUAAGCAACGGCUAACUCCGUGCCAGCAGCCGACGGUAAUAC
RNAcentral lists this ribosomal RNA (505 nucleotides) under uncultured bacterium. RNAcentral describes it as "bacterial SSU rRNA". It matches the Rfam family "Bacterial small subunit ribosomal RNA", at positions 28 to 526 of the family's 1533-position model. The record is from RNAcentral.